GUGGCCUUAGUGUAGCGGUAACACAAGAGUUUGUGGCACUCUUAUCACGGGUUCAAAUCCCGUAGGUCACC
RNAcentral lists this transfer RNA (71 nucleotides) under Candidatus Liptonbacteria bacterium. RNAcentral describes it as "tRNA-His". It matches the Rfam family "tRNA". From Rfam's summary of the family: Transfer RNA (tRNA) molecules are approximately 80 nucleotides in length. Their secondary structure includes four short double-helical elements and three loops (D, anti-codon, and T loops). The record is from RNAcentral. Lineage: Bacteria; Candidatus Liptoniibacteriota.